Molecule: transfer RNA, 71 nt
Filed under: Bos taurus (domestic cattle)
Lineage: Eukaryota; Metazoa; Chordata; Mammalia; Artiodactyla; Bovidae
Also listed under: 2 other names
Rfam family: tRNA
About the family: Transfer RNA (tRNA) molecules are approximately 80 nucleotides in length.
Source: Rfam by way of RNAcentral
UUCCUGGUGGCUCAGUGGUAGAGAAUCUGCCUGCAGUGCAGGAGACCCAGGUUUGAUCCCUGGGUUGGGAA